RNAcentral lists this ribosomal RNA (308 nucleotides) under uncultured prokaryote. RNAcentral's name for it is "bacterial SSU rRNA". It matches the Rfam family "Bacterial small subunit ribosomal RNA", at positions 8 to 352 of the family's 1533-position model. The record is from RNAcentral.
AGAGUUUGAUCCUGGCUCAGAACGAACGCUGGCGGCAUGCCUAACACAUGCAAGUCGAACGAAGGCUUCGGCCUUAGUGGCGCACGGGUGAGUAACACGUGGGAACCUGCCUUUCGGUUCGGAAUAACGUCUGGAAACGGACGCUAACACCGGAUACGCCUCGGGUAAGGUUACGUCCGAGAGAGGGCCGGCGCCGGAUAGUAGUUGGUGAGGUAAUGGCUCACCAAGCCUUCGAUCCGUAGCUGGUCUGAGAGGAUGAUCAGCCACACUGGGACUGAGACACGGCCCAGACUCCUACGGGAGGCGAC